CCUACGGGAGGCAGCAGUGAGGAAUAUUGGUCAAUGGGCGCGAGCCUGAACCAGCCAAGUAGCGUGAAGGAUGACUGCCCUACGGGUUGUAAACUUCUUUUAUAAAGGAAUAAAGUGAGGCACGUGUGCCUUUUUGUAUGUACUUUAUGAAUAAGGAGCGGCUAACUCCGUGCCAGCAGCCGCGGUAAUACGGAGGUUCCGAGCGUUAUCCGGAUUUAUUGGGUUUAAAGGGAGCGUAGAUGGGUUGUUAAGUCAGUUGUGAAAGUUUGCGGCUCAACCGUAAAAUUGCAAUUGAUACUGGCAGUCUUGAGUACAGUUGAGGUAGGCGGAAUUCGUGGUGUAGCGGUGAAAUGCUUAGAUAUCACGCAGAACCCCGGUGGCGAAGGCAGCAUGCCGGCUUCCGACUGACGCUGAAGCACGAAAGCGUGGGGAGCGAACAGGAUUAGAUACCCCUGUAGUC
RNAcentral lists this ribosomal RNA (460 nucleotides) under uncultured bacterium. RNAcentral's name for it is "partial 16S ribosomal RNA". It matches the Rfam family "Bacterial small subunit ribosomal RNA", at positions 338 to 795 of the family's 1533-position model. The record is from RNAcentral.